UUCUUCUUAUUGUAAAUUUCUGUGUAUUAGGGGAAAAUAAGUGAAAUUCUUUUUCUGACUGUGUGAAGGUCUGUUAAAUCAAAUUUCUCUGCUCGUAUUUGUGAGGAACAGAGGUUUUUGUAUGAUGGAAGCUACAGAAAGGGGGAGUUUUAUCUCUAUGGUCCAACAAGGCUCUAGGUCUCCAGGAGGAUUUGCCCAUGAGUUGCUGUGCAGUCUAUGGGGCUUCUAUUGAGAAAAGCUGUUCACGUUGAUCAUGCUGCAUCAUUAGCAUCAAGGGACAGGUUCAUCUCCAAUGUUCUGUUCAGAGGAGUUUCCUUGGAUUGACACAAAAAUCCCUAAGGAGCUGGUGAAAACCUCUCUGAUCUGGUUUCUGUGGCAAGAUGAAAUGUAUACAUCUGACUUGGAGAAAGGAGUGAAAAGCAGGCUGAGAUUCUAGGCCUAGUGCCCACUGACUUGUUCCCUGAUGAUCCUGCCAGCUCGAGGCUGCUCAGCACAGUGUUUGGGAGGCAUGUGUGGAAGGCAGAAAGCUCAGAAAGCAGGAAUUCCUGGAGAGCAGCAAGAGGAGGGGGGCAUGACAGGAAGAAGGGGCCAGUAUUCGUUGAAGGGCCCAUCACGAAUAGUGCAAGAAUAACAGUUCUCUGUCACGGUUCCAGAUUCCCUUAUCUGGGAGCGUUAAGCGGCGGGGCCUGUCGACACCUCUGCCUCGCGCCCUGCUCUGCACUCAGCCGCCUGCAGAUACAGAGUGGCUUGAACAAGUUCCAGUGCUCGCUCUUGGAGCUUCCCAAGACCCCUGGUUGCAGCACAGCCCAGAGCCAUCGGGCAGCCAGGUGACAUCACUGCCAACAGCCAUGGAGGCGCUUCCUGUGUCACAUUCCCCACUGAAGAGCCUCUUGCCAAAUCCUUGUCGUUCUACACGGUCUUUUUAGGAACAGAUGGGCUAAUUUUAGCCCGACUGCCACAAACACCUUCCUGAAAUAGAGUCUGACUCCUCCUGUCUUGUGCAUGUUCCUGAGAGUUUAAAAACAAAAUCCCUUGUCUUUAGGGUCCACAGCUAAGGCCUCUGUCAGCCUAAAUUUGGCAGUAAGAAUUACUGAGCAGUGCACUGGGGAAACUGCUGUCAGUGUCAGGCCCAUACUGAGCUGUAUGGAAUGUUCCAGCAAGGCAGAAGCUCAGAUGCUGGCAUAUCACAAAGUCAUAUGGGUCUGGUCCAAUAUGAAGGAGUUGUUCUGUAUUUCAAGGACUUUGCAAUACAAAGAAAUUUUCUUGACUAGCUGCAGCCAGAUAUGACAUUUACAAGUGUAGUGAAUGGACUUAGUGUCCUCUGUGGUCUGCCUUGGACAAUUGCUCUAAUCAUCAUCCUUUCUUUCUGGGGCCUGACUACGUAAGCACUGCCCUGGGAGUUAAUAAUCCUGCUUCUGGUCCCAUAGCGAAGUCAGUUCACACCUGCCUGUGCUGUACUUGAUGUAUGUAGCACUGACCUGCUCUGAGAACAGCAAAUGAAAGACACUUAGAGAAGAAUUAGAAAUCACUGUCAGAUGAGGACAAGGAGCACAAACUCCACAAAAUCACCGGGUUUUUAUGCUCCUGCCUUUUGCUGUUUCCAUGAGCUUGAAUCUGCAGGCUCUUGUGUUGAAGGAUCAAUGCAGGCCUGAGCUGCUGUUUCUAAUUAGGAGAGUAAAAAGCCAUGUUGUUAAAUAGCUUCCUCUAGAUAGGAAAGGAAAAAAGGUUUUCAGGCAGCUGUUGUUUUUAUGUCACUCUUUGGAGUGACCCCCCCAUCCCCUAUGUUCCUUUAGACCUGCUAAUUAAGCAGUUCCUUGUAUCUGCAGGUCAGUUGAUCAG
Long non-coding RNA from Cygnus olor (mute swan), 1839 nucleotides. RefSeq lists it as uncharacterized. The transcript has 3 exons. NCBI's taxonomy places the organism in Eukaryota, Metazoa, Chordata, Aves, Anseriformes, Anatidae. The record is from RefSeq and is a predicted model, not a curated record.